Molecule: ribosomal RNA, 687 nt
Filed under: uncultured Pseudomonas sp.
Lineage: Bacteria; Pseudomonadati; Pseudomonadota; Gammaproteobacteria; Pseudomonadales; Pseudomonadaceae
Description: bacterial SSU rRNA
Rfam family: Bacterial small subunit ribosomal RNA
Source: RNAcentral
AGAGUUUGAUCCUGGCUCAGAUUGAACGCUGGCGGCAGGCCUAACACAUGCAAGUCGAGCGGAUGAUGGGAGCUUGCUCCCGGAUUCAGCGGCGGACGGGUGAGUAAUGCCUAGGAAUCUGCCUGGUAGUGGGGGACAACGUUUCGAAAGGAACGCUAAUACCGCAUACGUCCUACGGGAGAAAGCAGGGGACCUUCGGGCCUUGCGCUAUCAGAUGAGCCUAGGUCGGAUUAGCUAGUUGGUGGGGUAAAGGCCUACCAAGGCGACGAUCCGUAACUGGUCUGAGAGGAUGAUCAGUCACACUGGAACUGAGACACGGUCCAGACUCCUACGGGAGGCAGCAGUGGGGAAUAUUGGACAAUGGGCGAAAGCCUGAUCCAGCCAUGCCGCGUGUGUGAAGAAGGUCUUCGGAUUGUAAAGCACUUUAAGUUGGGAGGAAGGGCAGUAAGUUAAUACCUUGCUGUUUUGACGUUACCAACAGAAUAAGCACCGGCUAACUUCGUGCCAGCAGCCGCGGUAAUACGAAGGGUGCAAGCGUUAAUCGGAAUUACUGGGCGUAAAGCGCGCGUAGGUGGUUUGGUAAGAUGGAUGUGAAAUCCCCGGGCUCAACCUGNGAACUGCAUCCAUAACUGCCUGACUAGAGUACGGUAGAGGGUGGUGGAAUUUCCUGUGUAGCGGUGAAAUGCG